GCGAAAACUUUACAAUGCUGGCAACAGCGAUAAGGGAACCUCGAGUGCCAGGUUACAAAUCUGGCUGUCGAGAUGCCUAAAAAGCAUUUCAUAGCAAGGGCCGGGCAAGACCGGUGCCAGCCGCCGCGGUAACACCGGCGGCUCGAGUGGUAACCGUUAUUAUUGGGUCUAAAGGGUCUGUAGCCGGCCGGAUAAGUCUCUUGAGAAAUCUGGCAGCUUAACUGUCAGGCUUUCAGGAGAUACUGUCUGGCUCGAGGCCGGGAGAGGUGAGAGGUACUUCAGGGGUAGGGGUGAAAUCUUGUAAUCCUUGAAGGACCACUAGUGGCGAAGGCGUCUCACCAGAACGGACCUGACGGCAAGGGACGAAAGCUAGGGGAACGAACC
RNAcentral lists this ribosomal RNA (384 nucleotides) under uncultured prokaryote. RNAcentral's name for it is "bacterial SSU rRNA". It matches the Rfam family "Archaeal small subunit ribosomal RNA", at positions 341 to 725 of the family's 1478-position model. The record is from RNAcentral.